AGUUCAGGAGGUUUCCUGCGCUCUACAGAAGUCACAGUCCUAGAUCCCGUUCUCAUCACCAGCAUAACCAGUAACUCCAGCCAGCUGGGUCAGGACAUUGCUGUGAGCGUCCACUUCUCUGGAGAGGAGACGGCUGUGACCUGGGAGGUGGACGGGGGGCGUCUCCUCGACGGAUACCAUCUGAUAGACGACAACAGGACGCUGAUCAUCCCGAGAGCCCAGAAAGAAGAUGCCGGGCGGAGACUCGGGGUCCAGAUCACAAACCCUGUCAGUAAUGAAACCCGGGAGUACGAGCUGCAUAUUACAGUCUCCCGAUCCUCUGAUGAGAUUUUACUUGCUUCGGUGCUUCCUGUGUUCGGGGUUAAGCUCGUUUUGGUCCUGUCUCUGUUUCUCGUUUGUUGUUAUGUCAAGAAUUUGAGCUGAUGGCCAUAAAUGAUGUGACAAAUGGAGAAGGCACGGAGGAGAUCAUGUCUCCUGGACGUCCAGCUGCCGGGUCACCGCUUCAAAUAUGAUUGUGAAGUCAUUUCUAAGGCUUGAUCUGCUAAAAUAUGCCUUUAUUAAAAGCUUCCGCAACUUGCACCCACAAAAAAUGUGA
Bufo bufo (common toad) is the source of this 595-nucleotide long non-coding RNA. RefSeq lists it as uncharacterized. Lineage: Eukaryota; Metazoa; Chordata; Amphibia; Anura; Bufonidae. The record is from RefSeq and is a predicted model, not a curated record. The transcript is spliced from 6 exons.